Etheostoma spectabile (orangethroat darter) is the source of this 98-nucleotide long non-coding RNA. RefSeq lists it as uncharacterized. The transcript has 4 exons. NCBI's taxonomy places the organism in Eukaryota, Metazoa, Chordata, Actinopteri, Perciformes, Percidae. The record is from RefSeq and is a predicted model, not a curated record.
CCCUAACAAGCUCCUUUCAAAAAAAGACUUGGGAACGUUAAUUGUAAGGAAGGUCACAAAUGCUUCAUUCGGUUUCCUCCAUUAUCUGUUUCUGCUGC